This 221-nucleotide unclassified non-coding RNA is filed under the name uncultured Bordetella sp. Its description in RNAcentral is "partial 16S-23S ribosomal RNA intergenic spacer". Lineage: Bacteria; Pseudomonadati; Pseudomonadota; Betaproteobacteria; Burkholderiales; Alcaligenaceae. The record is from RNAcentral.
GGUUCGAUUAUAAGCUCAGAUUGAACGCGCUGGCGGGAUGCUUUACACAUGCAAGUCGAACGGCAGCACGGACUUCGGUCUGGUGGCGAGUGGCGAACGGGUGGUAAGUAAUGGGGCGCGUGCCUUCGGGGAUGUACGCGGCGUAGCUAUACCGCACGCCUUCGGGGAAAGCGGGGACCUUCGGGCCUCGCACUAUUAGAGCGGCCGAUAUCGGAUUAUUU